GGGGAAUUUUCCGCAAUGGGGGAAACCCUGAUGCAGCAACGCCGCGUGAGUGAAGAAGGCCUUGCGGUCGUAAAGCUCUUUCGCUAGGGAACAAGGGUUUUUGGAUUAAGAGUCGAGGAACUUGACGGUACCUAGAUAAGAAGCACCGGCUAAUUUCGUGCCAGCAGCCGCGGUAAUACGAAAGGUGCGAGCGUUGUUCGGAUUGACUGGGCGUAAAGCGCAUGUAGGCGGGCUUGUCAGUUAGAUGUGAAAGCCCCGGGCUCAACCUGGGAAUGGCAUCUAAUACUGCAAGCCUUGAAUAUCUGAGAGGUUAUCGGAAUUCCAGGUGUAGCAGUGAAAUGCGUAGAUAUCUGGAGGAACACCAGAGGCGAAGGCGGAUAACUGGCAGCAUAUUGACGCUCAGAUGCGAAAGCGUGGGGAGCGAACAGGAUUAGAUACCCUGGUAGUCCACGCCCUAAACGAUGAAUACUAGCCGUUCGGAAAUAUCCAUUUCUGAGUGGCGCAGCUAACGCGUUAAGUAUUCCGCCUGGGGAGUACACUGGCAACGGUGAAACUCAAAGGAAUUGACGGGGGCCCGCACAAGCGGUGGAGUAUGUGGUUUAAUUCGAAGCAACGCGAAGAACCUUACCUGGCCUUGACAUCCCGGGAUCCUACCAGAGAUGGUAGUUUCUCUUCGGAGACUCGGUGACAGAUGCUGCAUGGCUGUCGUCAGCUCGUGUUGUGAAAUGUUCGGUUAAGUCCGGCAACGAGCGCAACCCUUGUUCUCAGUUGCUACCAUUAAGUUGGGCACUCUGAGGAGACUGCCGGUGAUAAGCCGGAGGAAGGCUGGGAUGACGUCAAGUCCUCAUGGCUCUUACGGCCAGGGCUACACACGUACUACAAUGGCAGAAACAAACGGAAGCGAGACCGCGAGGUGGAGCGGAUCCGUAAAACACUGUCUCAGUUCGGAUUGGAGUCUGCAAUUCGACUCCAUGAAGUCGGAAUCGCUAGUAAUCGCAGAUCAGCAAGCUGCGGUGAAUACGUUCCCGGGCCUUGUACACACCGCCCGU
This 1049-nucleotide ribosomal RNA is filed under the name uncultured marine bacterium. RNAcentral's name for it is "bacterial SSU rRNA". It matches the Rfam family "Bacterial small subunit ribosomal RNA", at positions 356 to 1397 of the family's 1533-position model. The record is from RNAcentral.